CACAAACUCCAGCUGUCAACAUGCCAGACUGUAACGACUGCGUGCCGGCACCGUGCCAGGUUAUCAAGGAGGACGUUGACAAAUGUGUCAGAGAGAAGGGAGAGGAGGGCUGUAAAGAUCUGAUAGAUGCCUUCCAGGCCUGUAUAAAAACUCUGUCUGAGGGAUCAUAAUACAUAAUGAAACACAACUUUAAAAAAAUUCACGCCUUCCCUUCCCAGCCCUUCACUCUCCCAUCCUCUUCCCUGCUUAUUGCACUGGACUGAACCAUCUGAAACCUGAGGAGGGGGGUGAUGAUACUGCACUUCUGAUGCUAUUCUGUGAAUGUGUAUUUUUCUAUUAUAAAUGUUACACUUCUGUUAUGGACUGAACUAGAACACUAUCAUUUUGUGAUUUUGCACAACAUACAAUA
Molecule: long non-coding RNA, 409 nt
Organism: Stegastes partitus (bicolor damselfish)
Lineage: Eukaryota; Metazoa; Chordata; Actinopteri; Pomacentridae
Exons: 3
Source: RefSeq, a predicted model, not a curated record